AUUGAACGCUGGCGGCAUGCUUUACACAUGCAAGUCGAACGGUAACAGGGAGCUUGCUCCGCUGACGAGUGGCGAACGGGUGAGUAAUAUAUCGGAACGUACCCAAGAGUGGGGGAUAACGUAGCGAAAGUUACGCUAAUACCGCAUACGAUCAAAGGAUGAAAGCAGGGGACCUUCGGGCCUUGUGCUCCUGGAGCGGCCGAUAUCUGAUUAGCUAGUUGGUGAGGUAAAGGCUCACCAAGGCGACGAUCAGUAGCUGGUCUGAGAGGACGACCAGCCACACUGGAACUGAGACACGGUCCAGACUCCUACGGGAGGCAGCAGUGGGGAAUUUUGGACAAUGGGCGCAAGCCUGAUCCAGCAAUGCCGCGUGAGUGAAGAAGGCCUUCGGGUUGUAAAGCUCUUUUGUCAGGGAAGAAACGGGAUUGGCUAAUAUCCAGUCCUAAUGACGGUACCUGAAGAAUAAGCACCGGCUAACUACGUG
Molecule: ribosomal RNA, 484 nt
Filed under: uncultured bacterium
Lineage: Bacteria
Description: partial 16S ribosomal RNA
Rfam family: Bacterial small subunit ribosomal RNA
Source: RNAcentral